CACUGCCGAGAAAAGCCUCUAGAUAGAAAAUAGGUGCCCGUACCGCAAACCGACACAGGUAGUCAAGAUGAGAAUUCUAAGGUGAGCGAGCGAACUCUCGUUAAGGAACUCGGCAAAAUGACCCCGUAACUUCGGGAGAAGGGGUGCUCUUUAGGGUUAACGCCCAGAAGAGCCGCAGUGAAUAGGCCCAAGCGACUGUUUAUCAAAAACACAGGUCUCUGCUAAACCGUAAGGUGAUGUAUAGGGGCUGACGCCUGCCCGGUGCUGGAAGGUUAAGAGGAGUGGUUAGCUUCUGCGAAGCUACGAAUCGAAGCCCCAGUAAACGGCGGCCGUAACUAUAACGGUCCUAAGGUAGCGAAAUUCCUUGUCGGGUAAGUUCCGACCCGCACGAAAGGCGUAACGAUUUGGGCACUGUCUCAACGAGAGACUCGGUGAAAUCAUAGUACCUGUGAAGAUGCAGGUUACCCGCGACAGGACGGAAAGACCCCGUGGAGCUUUACUGUAGCCUGAUAUUGAAAUUCGGCACAGCUUGUACAGGAUAGGUAGGAGCCUUUGAAACGUGAGCGCUAGCUUACGUGGAGGCGCUGGUGGGAUACUACCCUAGCUGUGUUGGCUUUCUAACCCGCACCACUUAUCGUGGUGGGAGACAGUGUCAGGCGGGCAGUUUGACUGGGGCGGUCGCCUCCUAAAAGGUAACGGAGGCGCUCAAAGGUUCCCUCAGAAUGGUUGGAAAUCAUUCAUAGAGUGUAAAGGCAUAAGGGAGCUUGACUGCGAGACCUACAAGUCGAGCAGGGUCGAAAGACGGACUUAGUGAUCCGGUGGUUCCGCAUGGAAGGGCCAUCGCUCAACGGAUAAAAGCUACCCCGGGGAUAACAGGCUUAUCUCCCCCAAGAGUUCACAUCGACGGGGAGGUUUGGCACCUCGAUGUCGGCUCAUCGCAUCCUGGGGCUGUAGUCGGUCCCAAGGGUUGGGCUGUUCGCCCAUUAAAGCGGUACGCGAGCUGGGUUCAGAACGUCGUGAGACAGUUCGGUCCCUAUCCGUCGUGGGCGUAGGAAAUUUGAGAGGAGCUGUCCUUAGUACGAGAGGACCGGGAUGGACAUACCUCUGGUGUACCAGUUGUCGUGCCAACGGCAUAGCUGGGUAGCUAUGUGUGGACGGGAUAAGUGCUGAAAGCAUCUAAGCAUGAAGCCCCCCUCAAGAUGAGAUUUCCCAACUUCGGUUAUAAGAUCCCUCAAAGAUGAUGAGGUUAAUAGGUUCGA
Molecule: ribosomal RNA, 1259 nt
Filed under: Staphylococcus aureus
Lineage: Bacteria; Bacillati; Bacillota; Bacilli; Caryophanales; Staphylococcaceae
Description: partial 23S ribosomal RNA
Rfam family: Bacterial large subunit ribosomal RNA
Source: RNAcentral